Molecule: ribosomal RNA, 413 nt
Filed under: uncultured bacterium
Lineage: Bacteria
Description: bacterial SSU rRNA
Rfam family: Bacterial small subunit ribosomal RNA
Source: RNAcentral
GCAGAAUAAGCACCGGCUAACUCUGUGCCAGCAGCCGCGGUAAUACAGAGGGUGCAAGCGUUAAUCGGAAUUACUGGGCGUAAAGCGCGCGUAGGCGGUUUGUUAAGUCGGAUGUGAAAUCCCCGGGCUCAACCUGGGCACUGCAUCCGAUACUGGCUGACUAGAGUGUGGGAGAGGAAGGUAGAAUUCCAGGUGUAGCGGUGAAAUGCGUAGAGAUCUGGAGGAAUACCGAUGGCGAAGGCAGCCUUCUGGCCUGACACUGACGCUGAGGUGCGAAAGCAUGGGGAGCAACAGGAUUAGAUACCCUGGUAGUCCAUGCCGUAAACGAUGUCAACUAGCCGUUGGGGGACCUUGAGUCUUUAGUGGCGCAGCUAACGCGAUAAGUUGACCGCCUGGGGAGUACGGCCGCAAGG